UUAUCUUCAGCCAUACUAGACA
Molecule: non-coding RNA, 22 nt
Filed under: Arabidopsis thaliana (thale cress)
Lineage: Eukaryota; Viridiplantae; Streptophyta; Magnoliopsida; Brassicales; Brassicaceae
Source: RNAcentral